Molecule: ribosomal RNA, 500 nt
Filed under: Vibrio alginolyticus
Lineage: Bacteria; Pseudomonadati; Pseudomonadota; Gammaproteobacteria; Vibrionales; Vibrionaceae
Description: bacterial SSU rRNA
Rfam family: Bacterial small subunit ribosomal RNA
Source: RNAcentral
GCGGACGGGUGAGUAAUGCCUAGGAAAUUGCCCUGAUGUGGGGGAUAACCAUUGGAAACGAUGGCUAAUACCGCAUGAUGCCUACGGGCCAAAGAGGGGGACCUUCGGGCCUCUCGCGUCAGGAUAUGCCUAGGUGGGAUUAGCUAGUUGGUGAGGUAAGGGCUCACCAAGGCGACGAUCCCUAGCUGGUCUGAGAGGAUGAUCAGCCACACUGGAACUGAGACACGGUCCAGACUCCUACGGGAGGCAGCAGUGGGGAAUAUUGCACAAUGGGCGCAAGCCUGAUGCAGCCAUGCCGCGUGUGUGAAGAAGGCCUUCGGGUUGUAAAGCACUUUCAGUCGUGAGGAAGGUGGUGUAGUUAAUAGCUGCAUUAUUUGACGUUAGCGACAGAAGAAGCACCGGCUAACUCCGUGCCAGCAGCCGCGGUAAUACGGAGGGUGCGAGCGUUAAUCGGAAUUACUGGGCGUAAAGCGCAUGCAGGUGGUUUGUUAAGUCAGAUG